This 275-nucleotide ribosomal RNA is filed under the name uncultured Bacteroides sp. RNAcentral's name for it is "partial 16S ribosomal RNA". It matches the Rfam family "Bacterial small subunit ribosomal RNA", at positions 29 to 339 of the family's 1533-position model. Lineage: Bacteria; Pseudomonadati; Bacteroidota; Bacteroidia; Bacteroidales; Bacteroidaceae. The record is from RNAcentral.
AUGAACGCUAGCUACAGGCUUAACACAUGCAAGUCGAGGGGCAGCAUGAACUUAGCUUGCUAAGUUUGAUGGCGACCGGCGCACGGGUGAGUAACGCGUAUCCAACCUUCCGUACACUCAGGGAUAGCCUUUCGAAAGAAAGAUUAAUACCUGAUGGUAUGAUGGGAUUGCGUUCCAUUAGGUUGUUGGCGGGGUAACGGCCCACCAAGCCUUCGAUGGAUAGGGGUUCUGAGAGGAAGGUCCCCACAUUGGAACUGAGACACGGUCCAAACUCC